CGGGAACCGCCAGAACCGCGGAACCGGAACCGCCAGAAACGGAACCGGAUGGUUCCGGAACCAUAUGGUAGCGGUUCCGGCUCCGGAACCGCCAGAACCGCCAGAACCGGAACCGCCAGAACCGCAGAACCGGAACCACCAGCCGAAACCGCAGACCCAAAUAAACCCAGAACCGGAACCGGAUAUAGCCUUACUUCUUCCUCACACUUACUCAUCCCUUUUCACUAACACAUAGUAGAAGCACAUAUUAGAGCUAAGACUUUUUUUUUAAAAAAAGCCCUAAAUCGAAAACACAUGCUCGAGAAAUCGGAGCACAAGUCUAAAAGAAGAGGGAAAAUUGAAGUUAGUUCCGAAUUUGUUUAGUCGCUGCAUAUUUUUGAGUUCUCAAGUUGUUUCUGAGAUGAAAAUCAAAGUAUUCCAGGAUUCUCGAGUGUAAGCUGUCUUGUUGAACUUCAGCUGGGUUCUCUGUCCAGUUUAUGCUUGGCUUUUGUUUGGGAUUCUUUUUUAUGGUCAAGUUAUGAGUUUCUAAUUUCAAAUAAUGUAGUAUUUGUUUGAAUAACAUGUUUUGGAUUGCAGCUAAUAUUGCUCUUUGUUCCAACGUAUAUUAUGUCAUUGUUUGCCUUCUUCCUUCUUGUCAUAUAUAAAAUGAAAUGCAAAGUAAUGCAGAAGAUUCGGGUAGGGUGUAAGAGAUCCUAGGCUUGAUAUUAAUAGGUUAAUAAAUAAAUAAUCUCAUUUCGAAUAAUGUUACGACUACUCUGUAGGAUAAACGUACAAGGGAGUUUUUCAAUUAAAGUGAUAUUAUUCGAAAUGAGAUUCUUUAUUUAUUAUGAGCCAUCACUUGGGAUAGGUUUGGCUUUGGUGUCCCAAGUCACCGGUUUAUUCAGAAUCCCAAAUCGAGAAAAUGUUUUGACUUCCCAAAUGGAGUCUGGGAACCCGAAAUUCGAAGUAAGGAAUUUUGUUGACCCGAGGGAAGGUGUUAGGCACCCCCGAAUCCCGUGGUUCUAGCACAAUCGCUUAAACUAUUAUAAAUGGCUAAAAUUCUAAUUUUACACAUGUUCAUCCUAAAAAUGCGAUUUUUAAUUACUUACACCGCUUUUAAUAUUUUUUAAAGGAAAUUGCAAUAUCGUUAAAACAUGCAACGAACCACGUCACAGAAAUGCACCCGCGGUUUUUGACAUAUUUUAAUUUUAUUGAGAUUUGAAUUUGGGUAACAUAAAUAUGCACUUGUACUUAGGAAGAUAAAAUUAUUAAAGACGCACUUAAAGCGACUAUCAUGUUAUUUGCGGGAAGCCGUGAAGUUCGCUAAACGGCGUGUCCUGAAUUCUCGCUUACCUGCCCGACGGGUAGACCCAAUAGAAUAAAUAGAAUAAGAGGCUUGACCUAGAGCCCUUCUCUUCCCCCUGAAAAAAAUCGGAUAUUUGGCAUGAGUAGCCUACGAGCCCUUACUUGAUGUCUGCGCUAACUGCCCUAUAGCUGGUGAAUCCUUUGAAUCAUAGGAAUGGCAAAAUCAGUAGAUACCGGGCGGAUAUUUGGCAUGAGUUAGACCCAAUAGAAUAAAUAGAAUAAGAGGCUUGACCUAGAGCUCUUCUCUUCCCCCUGAAAAAAAUCGGAUAUUUGGCAUGAGUAGCCUACGAGCCCUUCUAAGUAUUUUAAUAUGAACAUUUAAAGAGAGCCACGCAAUUUAUGGGUUUUAUUUGGCACUGUGCAGCUCAAUUCCGAUGUUAUCUACUACGGCCCACUUCCACUAAUUAUUUAAAGAGAAAUUUCCAAAUUUGGUUUUGAGGGCUAUAGCUAUUGGAAUUACAAGAAUCAUUUAUACUAUGUAGCUUCCGUUUGCCUCUUGAAAUUUAACGACUAAUGUAACAAAUGAAUACACUGAUUUUGAUAACUAUGUAAACUCAAAGGGAAACAAAGUACUUAUUUAACAAUCUUUUAUUAAAAAAAAAACGUAAAGCAAAAAGCAUUUGUCAUUGAGCAGUAACAACACAUGUAGUCCAUAUCUUGUUAUGUCGUGUUUUGACAAUAAUUGCUUAAUGAAAUCACUAGCAUUUUAGUAAUCAACUUGAACAUUGCAUCUACUAGCCCAAUAAUGAACAGAUCUUAGCAAGACGGACUUGAGAUAUUCAUCUCCUUUCAAGCUCACUUUGGAAAUUUAAUGUUUUAGAAAUAUGGCUAGGAAUAUCAUCGAGUUUAUCUUCUGCAUCAAGCACAACAUUAAAAUUCCCAACAAAUGAACAAGGUUCAGCCUAUAUAUACAACACCUCUAUUCAAUUAUAGACCAAGCAGAUUUAAAUUUAAAGCAUAGGAAAUACUAUCACAGAGAAUAUUUCCAACAAGUCAAAAUAGUUAAAUACCAUUUCCUAUUAAUUAACAAAUAAAACAAAAAACAAAAAUUUCAUAGCCUCAGCAAACUCCAAAAAAGAAAAGGCCGAAUUAUCUAUUAAUAUCAAGCCUAGCAUCUCUCAUACCCUACUCGAAUCUCCUGCAUUACUUUGCAUUUUAUUUUAUAUAUAACAAAAAGGAAGAAAGCAAACAAUAGCAUAAUAUCGUUCGAAUUUCCCCAAGAGCAAGGUGGAAAAUUCUUGGAGGGAAGGAUGCCGAGAUCUAUUUGAAAACGGCCUCUCUACUCCAGGGUAGAGGUAAGGUCACUGAAUUAUACUAUCCUCCCUAGACCCCGCUAUGUGAGAUUAUACUGGUUGUUUGUUGUUGUAAAAAGCAAUAUUAGCUGCAAUCCAAAACAUGUCUAAAUAGAUGAAUAAUCAUUGCAGAUCUCGUAACAUAAUACCAUCCAAACAAAUAUUACAUUAUUUGAAAUUAGAAACUCAUACCUUGACCAUAAAAAAGAAUCCCAAACAUAAGCCAAACAGAAGCUGGACAGAGAACCCAGCUGAAGCUCAACAAGACAGCAAACAACACGACCGCAACCCACGGGAAAAAUCAGCCUUCGACCGCUUACAUUCAAAAAUCUGGAAUAAUUUGAUUUUCAUCUUGGAAACAACUUGAGAACUCAAAAAUAUGCAGCGACUAAACAAAAUUGGAACUAACUUCAAUUUCCCCUCUUCUUUUGGACUUGUGCUCCAAUUUCUGGAGCAUUUGUUUUCGAUUUAGGGCUUUUUUAAAAAUAAAAAUAAAAAAUUCUUAGCUCUAAUAUGUGCUUCUACUAUGUGUUAGUGAGAAGGGAUGAGUAAGUGUGAGGAAGAAGGAGAAGAAAAUCUCUUAAGAAGAUAGUUUAUUCGGUUCUUCGUAAGGAUGGAAAGAGAAAACGCCGAUUUUUGUUCUAUAUGUUUUUUUGCUAAAAACAACCCCCAUCUUUUCUAGGUCUAAUCUUGCUUUAUAAUAAAAAUAAAGUUUGAGCCAAGAGGGUAUUGGAUAUGAUAUUGGGUUGGGCAAGAAAGAAGGAAAUUGGACCCCUUUUUUUGGAACUGGC
This 3427-nucleotide long non-coding RNA is filed under the name Nicotiana benthamiana. RNAcentral describes it as "long non-coding RNA (NBEN_LNC006846)". The record is from RNAcentral. Lineage: Eukaryota; Viridiplantae; Streptophyta; Magnoliopsida; Solanales; Solanaceae.